Phalaenopsis equestris is the source of this 2035-nucleotide RNA transcript. It is a transcript of the gene named 3-hydroxy-3-methylglutaryl-coenzyme A reductase 3-like, with no coding region annotated. The transcript has 5 exons. The record is from RefSeq and is a predicted model, not a curated record. Lineage: Eukaryota; Viridiplantae; Streptophyta; Magnoliopsida; Asparagales; Orchidaceae.
CUAGUUUUUAUCACCGCUCGCCGCGUUAGGAGGAAGUGGAAGCGGGUGCGUUGCUGUCCUGCUGCUCCCUCCUCUUCCGCCUUACCCUACUCUCUCUCUCCCUUCUUAACAUGGAGGUCCGCCGGAGAUUUCCUCCUUUUUCCUCUUCCUCGGCCUCCUCCGCCGGCACCAUCCGCCCUCCUCGGGCGGCGCCUCUAUCUUCCGGCGGCCGCAUUCAGGCCUCCGACGCCCUGCCCAUCCCUAUCCGCCACACUAACCUCCUCUUCUCCCUCCUAUUUAUCUGCUCCAUAUUCUUUCUUAUGCGUCGUUGGCGUGACAAGGUCCGCGAGUCAAUCCCUCUCCACGUCGUCGACCUCUCUGAGCUCAUUUCCAUCGUCUCCGUUGUCGCAUCCCUCAUCUACCUCCUAAGUUUUUUCGGCAUAGCUUUCGUUCAAUCCGUCGUCUCCUCUCACGAAGACGAGGUCGACGAUUUCACACCCGACGGCAGAAUGGCUCCCACUCCGGCCCCUUCGUGUGAUCUGGCUGCGCCGGUACUUGCAGGCCGCGAGGAUGAGGACAUUAUCGCUGCCGUUGUUUCGGGAAAGACGCCAUCCUACUCGCUGGAGUCCGUGAUCGGAGAUUGUCGUCGCGCCGCUGAGAUUAGGCGCGAGGCUAUAAGGAGGAUCUCGGGAAAAGGUCUGGAUGGGCUACCUCUUGAGGGAUUUGAUUACGGGUCGAUUCUUGGGCAGUGCUGCGAGAUGCCGGUAGGUUUUGUUCAGCUUCCUGUGGGGAUCGCCGGGCCGUUAAAACUUGAUGGAAGGGACUACUAUGUUCCUAUGGCAACGACUGAGGGGUGUCUCGUGGCCAGCACUAACAGAGGGUGCAAGGCGAUCUUUGAGUCAGGCGGGGCAGCCAGCGUAGUGCUUAGGGAUGCAAUGACAAGGUCGCCGGUGGUGAGGUUUUUGACCGCAACGAGGGCAGCUGAACUCAAGUUCUUCGUGGAGGAGCCUAGUAAUUUUGACACAAUUUCCGUCGUUUUCAACAGAUCAAGCAGAUUUGCAAGGCUUCAAAGUGUCCAGUGUGCGCUUGCAGGGAGGAAUCUCUAUAUGAGAUUUUCCUGCAGUACUGGAGAUGCAAUGGGGAUGAACAUGGUCUCUAAAGGAGUGCAAAAUGUCUUGGAUUAUCUUCAAAAUGAUUUUCCAGACAUGGAUGUUAUCAGCCUCUCUGGCAACUUCUGUUCGGACAAGAAACCGGCUGCAGUUAAUUGGAUCGAGGGAAGAGGGAAAUCUUUGGUCUGCGAGGCUGUCAUCAAAGAAGAGGUGGUCAAGAAGGUUCUGAAGACGUCUGUGUCUGCACUUGUAGAGGUGAAUACAAUCAAGAACCUUGCUGGUUCGGCCAUAGCUGGAGCCCUUGGAGGCUUCAAUGCUCACGCCAGCAACAUAGUAUCAGCCAUCUUCAUUGCCACCGGACAGGAUCCCGCCCAGAAUGUGGAGAGUUCUCAGUGCAUCACGAUGAUGGAAGCGGUGAAUGAUGGGAAAGAUCUUCACAUUUCUGUUACUAUGCCAUCCAUUGAGGUGGGCACUGUUGGUGGUGGCACCCAGUUAGCAUCUCAGUCAGCUUGCCUUAAUCUCCUUGGGGUGAAAGGCGCAAACACGGAGUCUCCCGGGGCAAAUGCCAGGCUUCUUGCCACCAUUGUUGCAGGCUCUGUGCUUGCUGGUGAGCUCUCUCUCAUGUCUGCCCUUGCAGCCGGUCAGCUUGUGAAGAGCCACAUGAAAUACAAUAGAUCAUGUAGGGAUAUCACCAAAGUUGCUUCCACUUGAUGACAACAGAACACUUUGUAGAUAGCGCUAUUAAAAUAAUACUCUGGAGAGAGUAGACAAGAAACUAAUUGAGAUGCUGCUGAGAGCAGGAAAACAUGAGGAUUGAAAAAGGUUUCAAUUUAUAAGGUGAUUGUGGCAUGGGCUGAAGAGCUUGAUAUCAAGCAAUUAUGGGCAGUGAUUUGUGCGCUAUCUCUAUGUAUUAUUUAAGGGAGAUUUGCAUACAUAUCCCUCAAUUC